This 253-nucleotide ribosomal RNA is filed under the name uncultured bacterium. RNAcentral describes it as "partial 16S ribosomal RNA". It matches the Rfam family "Bacterial small subunit ribosomal RNA", at positions 524 to 776 of the family's 1533-position model. The record is from RNAcentral.
UACGGGGGGGGCAAGCGUUGUUCGGAAUUACUGGGCGUAAAGGGUCUGUAGGUGGCCAACUAAGUCAGACGUGAAAUCCCUCAGCUUAACUGGGGAACUGCGUCUGAUACUGGUUGGCUUGAGUGCAGGAGAGGAACGCGGAAUUCCAGGUGUAGCGGUGAAAUGCGUAGAUAUCUGGAGGAACACCGGUGGCGAAGGCGGCGUUCUGGACUGCAACUGACACUGAUGGACGAAAGCCAGGGGAGCAAACGGG